This 947-nucleotide ribosomal RNA is filed under the name uncultured bacterium. Its description in RNAcentral is "bacterial SSU rRNA". It matches the Rfam family "Bacterial small subunit ribosomal RNA", at positions 61 to 1021 of the family's 1533-position model. The record is from RNAcentral.
GUCNAGCGANGCAUCACUUCGGUGGUGACGGAGCGGCGAACGGGUGAGUAACANNNNNNNAACCUGCCCUCAGCUCUGGGACAACUCCGGGAAACCGGGGCUAAUACCGGAUACGACCUUGGACGACAUCGUUCUUGGUGGAAAGUUUUUCGGCUGGGGAUGGGCCCGCGGCCUAUCAGCUUGUUGGUGGGGUAAUGGCCUACCAAGGCGACGACGGGUAGCCGGCCUGAGAGGGCGACCGGCCACACUGGGACUGAGACACGGCCCAGACUCCUACGGGAGGCAGCAGUGGGGAAUAUUGCGCAAUGGGCGAAAGCCUGACGCAGCGACGCCGCGUGGGGGAUGAAGGCCUUCGGGUUGUAAACCUCUUUCAGCAGGGACGAAGCGAGAGUGACGGUACCUGCAGAAGAAGCACCGGCCAACUACGUGCCAGCAGCCGCGGUAAUACGUAGGGUGCAAGCGUUGUCCGGAAUUAUUGGGCGUAAAGAGCUCGUAGGCGGUUUGUCGCGUCGGCUGUGAAAUCUCGGGGCUCAACCCCGAGCCUGCAGUCGAUACGGGCAGACUAGAGUGCUGUAGGGGAGACUGGAAUUCCUGGUGUAGCGGUGAAAUGCGCAGAUAUCAGGAGGAACACCGGUGGCGAAGGCGGGUCUCUGGGCAGUAACUGACGCUGAGGAGCGAAAGCGUGGGGAGCGAACAGGAUUAGAUACCCUGGUAGUCCACGCCGUAAACGGUGGGUGCUAGGUGUAGGUCNNAUUCCACGCGAUCUGUGCCGCAGCUAACGCAUUAAGCACCCCGCCUGGGGGAGUACGGCCGCAAGGCUAAAACUCAAGGAAUUGACGGGGGCCCGCACAAGCAGCGGAGCAUGUGGCUUAAUUCGACGCNACGCGAAGAACCUUACCNANGGCUUGACAUGCAGGGAAAUCCUCCAGAGAUGGGGGGUCCGCAAG